GGAAUAUUGGUCAAUGGAGGCAACUCUGAACCAGCCAUGCCGCGUGCAGGAAGACGGCCCUAUGGGUUGUAAACUGCUUUUAUCUGGGAAUAAACCUUUUUACGUGUAAGAAGCUGAAUGUACCAGAAGAAUAAGGAUCGGCUAACUCCGUGCCAGCAGCCGCGGUAAUACGGAGGAUCCAAGCGUUAUCCGGAUUUAUUGGGUUUAAAGGGUGCGUAGGCGGCCUGUUAAGUCAGAGGUGAAAGACGGUAGCUCAACUAUCGCAGUGCCUUUGAUACUGACGGGCUUGAAUAAACUAGAGGUAGGCGGAAUGAGACAAGUAGCGGUGAAAUGCAUAGAUAUGUCUCAGAACACCGAUUGCGAAGGCAGCUUACUAUGGUUUUAUUGACGCUGAGGCACGAAAGCGUGGGGAUCAAACAGGAUUAGAUACCCUAG
RNAcentral lists this ribosomal RNA (435 nucleotides) under uncultured Pedobacter sp. Its description in RNAcentral is "bacterial SSU rRNA". It matches the Rfam family "Bacterial small subunit ribosomal RNA", at positions 358 to 790 of the family's 1533-position model. Lineage: Bacteria; Pseudomonadati; Bacteroidota; Sphingobacteriia; Sphingobacteriales; Sphingobacteriaceae. The record is from RNAcentral.